This 596-nucleotide ribosomal RNA is filed under the name Virgibacillus halodenitrificans. RNAcentral's name for it is "partial 23S ribosomal RNA". It matches the Rfam family "Bacterial large subunit ribosomal RNA", at positions 1 to 585 of the family's 2925-position model. Lineage: Bacteria; Bacillati; Bacillota; Bacilli; Caryophanales; Bacillaceae. The record is from RNAcentral.
UAAAAAUAGUUAAGUGAAUAAGGGCGCACGGUGGAUGCCUUGGUACUAGGAGCCGAAGAAGGACGGGACUAACACCGAUAUGUCUCGGGGAGUCGUAAGUAGACAUCGAUCCGAGAAUUUCCGAAUGGGGGAACCCACUGUUCGUAAUGGAACAGUACGCAUAGCUGAAUACAUAGGCUAUGUGAGGCAGACCCGGGGAACUGAAACAUCUCAGUACCCGGAGGAAGAGAAAGCAAAUGCGAUUUCCCAAGUAGCGGCGAGCGAAACGGAAUUAGCCCAAACCAGAAAGCUUGCUUUCUGGGGUUGUAGGACACUCCUUUGGAGUUACAAAGGAAUUCUUUAGAUGAAUCGAUCUGGAACGAUCAGCCACAGCAGGUAAGAGCCCUGUAAUCGAAAAGGAAUUCUCUCCGGAGUGUAUCCUGAGUACGGCGGAACACGAGAAAUUCCGUCGGAAUCCGGGAGGACCAUCUCCCAAGGCUAAAUACUCCCUAGUGACCGAUAGUGAACCAGUACCGUGAGGGAAAGGUGAAAAGCACCCCGGGAGGGGAGUGAAAGAGAACCUGAAACCGUGUGCCUACAAGUAGUCGAAGCCCGUU